CAGACUUUGAGUUGAUCAGCAGCACAGGAGAGCUGGCAUCUGAAGAAGUGGAGUAAUGAUAAGCCAUGUGUCCAGGUAAUGACUCUGCUGCUUUUAGAACUGCAGCUUCUUCCAGCUGCGGGGGCCUCUGGGAGCAUAAAUUGGCAGACUGGAACAGUGGGGAGAGGGGCCAACUUUGGUAUCAGGAAGACCUGGGCUCCAGUACUGCUUCUGACACAUACAGGCUUUGUUACUCUGGACACAACUUGUGGCACUUGGCAGCACUCAUAAGCCUGAGAAGAGAAGAAAGCAUAAGAGAUAAUGUGGCAGGUCUACGUGCAGGAGGGACUUCAGGGAGUUGA
This 341-nucleotide long non-coding RNA is filed under the name Monodelphis domestica (gray short-tailed opossum). Its description in RNAcentral is "lncRNA (ENSMODG00000046628.1)". Lineage: Eukaryota; Metazoa; Chordata; Mammalia; Didelphimorphia; Didelphidae. The record is from RNAcentral.